Long non-coding RNA from Coturnix japonica (Japanese quail), 1223 nucleotides. NCBI's taxonomy places the organism in Eukaryota, Metazoa, Chordata, Aves, Galliformes, Phasianidae. The record is from Ensembl.
GGGGGCUUUUGGGGCAGCGGAGUGACCCAAAAUGGGGCUUUUUAGACCCAAAUCCCAGCACAAAGUGGCCCAAUUUGGACUUUUCUGAGGCCAAAAUCCCAUCACAGAGACCUAAUUUGGACUAUUCUGAGGCCAAAAUCCAUCACAAAGACCCAAUUUGGACUUUUCUGAGGCCAAAAUCCAUCACAAAGACCCAAUUCUGGCUUUUCUGAGCCCAAAAUCCAUCACAAAGACCCAAUUUGGACUAUUCUGAGCCCAAAAUCCAUCCCAAAGAUCCAAACUGGAUGUUUCUGAGCCCAAAUUCAUCACAAAGACCCAAAUCUGGCUUUUCUGAACCCAAAAUCCCAUCACAAAGUGGCCUAUUCUGGCUUUUCAGAGCCCAAAAUGCAUCACAAAGACCCAAUUUGGACUAUUCCGAACCCAAAAUCCAUCACAAAGACCCCAAUUCUGGACUUAUCUGAGCCCAAAACAAUGAAGAAGGCCCCAAUUCUGGCUUUUUUGAGCCCAAAAUCCAUCACAAAGACCCAAUUCUGGCUUUUCUGAGCCCAAAAUCCCAUCGCAAAGACCCAAUUUGGACUAUUCUGAACCCAAAAUCCAUCACAAAGUGCCCAAUACUGGUUAUUCUGAGCCCAAAAUCCAUUACAAAGACCCAAUUCUGGCUUUUCUGAACCCAAAAUCCAUUACAAAGACCCAAUUCUGGCUUUUCUGAGCCCCAAAUCCAUCACAAAGUGCCCAAUUCUGGCUUUUUUGAGCCCAAAAUCCAUCACAAAGUGCCCAAUUCUGGCUUUUCUGAACCCAAAAUGCUCUUUUUUAACCUCCAAAUUCUGAUUUGGCCUGAAAAUGCACUUUUUUCACCUCAAAAACACACUUCUUUCACCCCCAAAUUCUGAGGUUUUGGCCCCAAAAUAACCCAUAGAAAUGUACUUUUUUUACCCCCUGAAUUCUCAGGAUUUUACCCCAAAUUGCACUUUUUUCACCCCCAAAUUCUGAGAUUUUGGCCCCAAAAACAACCUCUAAAAAUGCACUUAUUUCAACUCUGAAUUCUAAGGUUUUAGCCCCAAAAACGCACUUUUUCACCCCCAAAAAUGCACAUUUCUAACCCCCAAAUUCUGAGGAUUUGGCUCAAAAACAACCCCUAAAAAUGCCCUUUUUUCACCCCUAAUUUCAGAGGAUUUGACCCCAAAAAAGCAGCACCUAAAAUGCACUUUUUUCACCCCUAAAUU